This 243-nucleotide ribosomal RNA is filed under the name uncultured Glomus. RNAcentral's name for it is "partial 18S ribosomal RNA". It matches the Rfam family "Eukaryotic small subunit ribosomal RNA", at positions 569 to 817 of the family's 1831-position model. Lineage: Eukaryota; Fungi; Glomeromycota; Glomeromycetes; Glomerales; Glomeraceae. The record is from RNAcentral.
AGCAGCCGCGGUAAUUCCAGCUCCAAUAGCGUAUAUUAAAGUUGUUGCAGUUAAAAAGCUCGUAGUUGAAUUUCGGGGUUAGUAGGUUGGUCAUGCCUCUGGUAUGUACUGGUCUCACUGAUUCCUCCUUCCUUAUGAACCGUAAUGCCAUUAAUUUGGUGUUGCGGGAAAUUUGGACUGUUACUUUGAAAAAAUUAGAGUGUUUAAAGCAAGCUAACGCUUGAAUGCAUUAGCAUGGAAUAA